UAUUCUAAACAUUUGCUAACUUUUCUGCAUUGCUAAUAUAUUUACUCAAUUUUUUUAAAUUAGUUUACUGUUCUGACCUCCCAAUCAUCAUCUGCAAGCCAAAGAAGAUUUUUUCUCCUUAUUACUUUCCAGUUAUCUUGUUUGCCCUUCCAAUCAACUGCAAUCCGCUGAUUAGGACUCCUCAUUAUUUGGUUUUGCGGAAAAGAAACUUGAUCCACAAUGAAUCCACAACAAAGAAUAUGAAAACCAUCUUGAUCCUACAUAACAUAAUCUGAUGCGGUGAUAUUAUUCUUAUUAAUCUUUAUUAUAGAAACAUAUACAAUAUAUUUUUUUCAAGAUUUAUUUAUAAAUCUAUUACCAGUUAUAAUAUGUUAACCUGUUCAAAGUUCACCCUUUAGAAAAUAAAAGUUUUAUUCAUUGAAAAUACUAUGUUAGCUUAUUGUUUUUAUUAUUAUUCCUCAUACUUACAGCACCCUAAAACUUAAAUGACGCAAUAUGUGGGAAAUACAUACGCGUGUAUGUCUUUGAGGGAAACAUGGGAAAUGAUGAUAGCGUCAAUUGGCUAGAUGGUUUACGCCAUCAAAGAACCAUAUAUAUUUGCUAAUCUGAUCCCAUCCUUACCUUCAUAAUUUUAAUUUCCAAUUCCAAUUUUUUAUAUAUCAAUAUUAAAAAUUUACUAUUUUGCGAGUUUGGAAGCAAAUUUGUGUAAUGUGUACAUUAAACACACAAAUAUGUUCCGAUUGGUAAUCUAUUCAAAUAUUAUUGCAAAUACAAUUAGAAUAUAUAAAUAGUGGGAGCGCAGAAUGAAUCCA
Molecule: long non-coding RNA, 812 nt
Organism: Pseudophryne corroboree (corroboree frog)
Lineage: Eukaryota; Metazoa; Chordata; Amphibia; Anura; Myobatrachidae
Exons: 3
Source: RefSeq, a predicted model, not a curated record